GAUUAGAUACCGUCGUAGUCUUACACUGUAAACAAUGCCGUCUCAGGAUUGAGAAGUAACGAGAAAUCAAAGAUUAUGGGUUCAGGGGGGAGUACAUUCGCAAGGCUGAAACUUAAAGGAAUUUGCGGAAUGACACCACAAGGCGUGGAAUAUGCGGCUUAAUUUGACUCAACACGAGGAAUUUUACUAGGUCAGGACAAUGUAAGGAUUGACAGAUUGAGAGCUCUUUCUCGAUCCAUUGUGUGGUGGUGCAUGGCCGCUCCUGGUUGGUGGAGUGAUUUGUCUGGUUGAUUCCGUUAACGAACGAGAUCUCGACCCUUAAAUAUCUUCUUAAGGAGACUGUGUGCGUCUCGCGGAAGAGCGAGCCAAUAGCAGGUCUGUGAUGCUCCUAAAUGUCCUAGGCUGCACGCGCACUACACUGAUGCAAUAAACGAGUCCCUACCUGGAAGCGGGUGGGAAAUUUUUUGAACUUGCAUCGUGAUGAGGAUCGACGAUUGCAAUUAUUAUCCUUGAAUGAGGAAUGCCUAGUAGGCACAAGUCAUCAGCUUGUACUGAUUACGUCCCUGCCAUUUGUACACACCGCCCGUCGUUGCUACUGAUUGGCUGUAGGGUAGAGAUCGGCGGGAGAAACCGAUCAAUAUUCUGCAGCUAGAAGAAGCAAAAGUCGUAACAAGGUUGCUGUAGGUAACCUGCAGAAGGAUCA
This 703-nucleotide ribosomal RNA is filed under the name uncultured eukaryote. RNAcentral describes it as "bacterial SSU rRNA". It matches the Rfam family "Eukaryotic small subunit ribosomal RNA", at positions 1006 to 1828 of the family's 1831-position model. The record is from RNAcentral.